GCAAACUUGGUCAUUUAGAGGAAGUAAAAGUCGUAACAAGGUUUCCGUAGGUGAACCUGCGGAAGGAUCAUUAUCGAGUUAGGGUCUUUUUGGCCCAACCUCCAACCCUUUGUCUACUUGACCACUGUUGCUUUGGCGAGCCUGUUUCUAGUAAAAUAGAGGCUGCCGGAGGUGCAAUACCCUCUGGAUCGUGCUCGUCAAUAGCCUUUAUUAAACUCUUUGCUAAAUGUGGAGUCUAAGCAAUACCUAAAAGCUAAAACUUUCAACAACGGAUCUCUUGGUUCUGGCAUCGAUGAAGAACGCAGC
This 306-nucleotide unclassified non-coding RNA is filed under the name uncultured fungus. RNAcentral's name for it is "partial contains small subunit ribosomal RNA, internal transcribed spacer 1, and 5.8S ribosomal RNA". The stretch from base 1 to 73 matches the Rfam family "Eukaryotic small subunit ribosomal RNA", at positions 1759 to 1831 of the family's 1831-position model. Lineage: Eukaryota; Fungi. The record is from RNAcentral.